GAAAUGCCGCCGCUGCCCCCCCGCCCGUUGUCGGUAGGUGCUCAGGGCGCAAAGCACGGAACGGCAGCGCCGGUGCCGCCCGUGAGCAAGUGCCAGGGCCGAUCCGUGUCAGUAACGGUCCCUGCUGCUGCCGGCUCUGUCCCACCUCCUGAGGCCGCGCUGGGGCCGCGCGGGUCAGUUCCUGCCCUGGGCAUGCCGCCGACCGCGCCCAGCUGGGGGUGUCUCUGCCCGGCCUGGCGCUUCUCACGGCUCAGGGGCCAAAAGGGACGGGCGGAACCUUCCUGGCCGUGGGCAGCGGGCGGGAGCCGCCGCGGCUGGAGCUGGAGGGGCCAGAGAAAGGGAAGGACGGAGAACAUCGAGGGCACAUGGGCAGCAGCCGCCUGGCCCUGCAGGAGGAGAGCGCCUGCCUCUCCGGGGGGAGGUCAGCCAGGCGAGUGGAGUUUCAGAAGAAGAGGAGGGGCAGGAGGAAGGAAGGAGAAAGAAGCAUCUGAUCUGUCCAAUUCUCCCGGCAGUGCCUUUCUCUUGUCUUGCUGCUCCCUUUUCUUUUUCUGUCUGCACUUCUGA
This 564-nucleotide long non-coding RNA is filed under the name Athene cunicularia (burrowing owl). RNAcentral describes it as "lncRNA (ENSACUG00000002362.1)". The record is from RNAcentral. Lineage: Eukaryota; Metazoa; Chordata; Aves; Strigiformes; Strigidae.